UUUUCCUUUUUUCUCAUAUUGAAUUACAGGUCUACAUGAAGACAUUGACAUUGAUGCCGACCUUGAUGAUCUCCAUGACGACGACAUGGAUGAUGAUGACGACGAUGAUGAUGAAGAGUUUCAUCACCGUGACGACGAUGAUCUCCCCAAGAAAGAUGAUCCAGGGCGGAAAGUUCGUUUUGCGGACGACGGUGGGGGUGAUGAGAAGAUUCCCCCGGGUAUCACCCCGCUCCAGUACAAGAUGUUGAAGAUGGCCGGUCAGCAGAUUCCAAAGAAGGGAGAGAAGACGA
Molecule: long non-coding RNA, 290 nt
Organism: Branchiostoma floridae (Florida lancelet)
Lineage: Eukaryota; Metazoa; Chordata; Leptocardii; Amphioxiformes; Branchiostomatidae
Exons: 3
Source: RefSeq, a predicted model, not a curated record